AUUGAACGCUGGCGGCAUGCCUUACACAUGCGAGUCGAACGGCAGCACGGGUGCUUGCACCUGGUGGCGAGUGGCGAACGGGUGAGUAAUACAUCGGAACAUGCCCUGUAGUGGGGGAUAGCCCGGCGAAAGCCGGAUUAAUACCGCAUACGAUCUACGGAUGAAAGCGGGGGACCUUCGGGCCUCGCGCUAUAGGGUUGGCCGAUGGCUGAUUAGCUAGUUGGUGGGGUAAAGGCCUACCAAGGCGACGAUCAGUAGCUGGUCUGAGAGGACGACCAGCCACACUGGGACUGAGACACGGCCCAGACUCCUACGGGAGGCAGCAGUGGGGAAUUUUGGACAAUGGGCGAAAGCCUGAUCCAGCAAUGCCGCGUGUGUGAAGAAGGCCUUCGGGUUGUAAAGCACUUUUGUCCGGAAAGAAAUCCUUGGCCCUAAUACGGUCGGGGGAUGACGGUACCGGAAGAAUAGGCACCGGCUAACUACGUG
RNAcentral lists this ribosomal RNA (486 nucleotides) under uncultured bacterium. Its description in RNAcentral is "partial 16S ribosomal RNA". It matches the Rfam family "Bacterial small subunit ribosomal RNA", at positions 30 to 507 of the family's 1533-position model. The record is from RNAcentral.